GUGAAGGUGGCUCAGUGGUAGAGUGCUUGCCUCAUAUGCAUAAGGACCUGGGUUUGAUUCCUCAGCAUCACA
Molecule: non-coding RNA, 72 nt
Organism: Dipodomys ordii (Ord's kangaroo rat)
Lineage: Eukaryota; Metazoa; Chordata; Mammalia; Rodentia; Heteromyidae
Source: Rfam